CUCCAAACCCCCUCCCAUAGCCAGUGAGCAAUUCCACUGGGUUUUACAUGUUGUAAACAAAGAUUUUGAGAAGUGACAAAAUGGAUCUGCAGAAAAAGCAAGAAGCUUAGAACUUGGUAAAACGCCAAUCAAAUGAGAUGGAGAUAGAGUUCCAAUGGAAUCUUGAAGGGAGCAGUUAGGAAACCCAGCUGCUUGAACUUCACUUCCUUCUCUGGCUGUUGGAAGAGAAGGUGGAAGAAAAACUCUCUCUUUGGUCAUUGAUUAUCCAUAUGACUGAGUGCUGAGAAGACUUGAUUGCCUUUGAAUGGAAUGUCUUGCUUCACAUUCGAGAUGCUUGUUACAACCUCUUCUAAACAGCUCUUCACAUGCAGUAUUGAGUAUGUCCUCUUUCUGCUUCCCAGAGAUCCAGCACUCCUUUGGCUAUCGGUCCCAGACCACAUUUUUACCAGGUAAGCAUCCCUCUUCCCC
Long non-coding RNA from Monodelphis domestica (gray short-tailed opossum), 468 nucleotides. RefSeq lists it as uncharacterized. The record is from RefSeq and is a predicted model, not a curated record. NCBI's taxonomy places the organism in Eukaryota, Metazoa, Chordata, Mammalia, Didelphimorphia, Didelphidae.